Molecule: RNA transcript, 1599 nt
Organism: Manduca sexta (tobacco hornworm)
Lineage: Eukaryota; Metazoa; Arthropoda; Insecta; Lepidoptera; Sphingidae
Exons: 3
Source: RefSeq, a predicted model, not a curated record
GACAGUCCACGGCCGGACAUAAGGCCACCGCUGGGACAACUGAAAACCUCCCGAAGCCACUCCUUAUCGUGUUCAAAUAGUUCCGGCAGGAGUAAACGGAUACGAACGAUCUUCACGCCGGAGCAGCUGGAGCGGCUGGAGGCGGAGUUCGAGCGGCAACAGUACAUGGUGGGCCCCGAGCGGCUGUACCUGGCGCACGCGCUGCAGCUCACAGAGGCGCAGGUGAAGGUGUGGUUCCAGAACCGGCGAAUUAAGUGGCGGAAGCAUCACCUGGAGGUGACGCAGCAACGACUGGCGGUCCUACAGCGGCACUCGCACGACCGCGACGACGACGCCUGAGUGCAAAGACAUUGAUAGUGCAGAAUGAAUGAAGCGCGCACUAUCGACUUUUAGUGGGUUGCGCGCACUUUCGAUUGCGAAAAAAUCCGACGCUGAGUUUGCGGAGAUACUUAAUUAAAAAAAAAUACAUGCCGAUUAAAAGUCAAUAGUGCACGAAGUUAUAAAGUGACAUUAUGGUUUUGUUUAAGUUAUAUUUUGCAGUUUUAAUCAAUAAUUUGAUAACUGCUUUGCAAAAUUAUCCAAAUUUAUUGCGAGUCUAUGGUUUUGUCACUAUUAGGAAUAAAUAAUUAAGACUAUAAAAUAGUUGUAACAUAUUUAAUUUAAGUGCGUAAUUAAGGUACCGCGUUUAGUUUUUCUCAUAAAUAAUUUGUAUUGUCGAAUCCAUCGACAAUAUUAGUAAUCGCUGCUCAUUAUAAACACUGAUUCAAUAUUUUUGGCGCCAUUUUUUAAGAAGCUGCUGGUGACGUAACUUUUUAUACUUACACCUAAAAAGGCACCGUUUAUUUGUUUUUUUUUUUUUACAUUGCUUCCUAGAUUUGUUUCUACAUCACGCGACUUAGGUCCAAUGGAGAUAUUUCUAGAGUGUCAAUAAACUGUGUAAUUAAUGUUUCUUUUGUAUUUCAAAAUAGGUUUUGAUUUGACCCUACUAUGAUGGAUAAUAAUAUUUACUUAAAUCUAUUUGAUAUUUAUUUUCAAUUUCUAGUCGAAAGUGUGCGUGGGCCGUUACACUACAUUUUAUGAUUUGUUAAAGCUCUCAACUAGGUAACAAUAAUAUUGUCGCGCAACAUGACGCUCAACACUGAAGUUGAAGAACGUCACAUUUUUUUUAAUUUAUAUUUUGUAACUAUAAGUAGCGUUGGAUAUAAAACGAGACGCGUCCUUUUACGCCAACAUCAUGUUGCCAACUUGAGCAUCCAGCUUUGCGACUUGCUGCAAUUAUUUAAUACAUCUUUAAUCUACAAGCAAUUAUAAUUUAUUUUCGCCAAAGUAUAUAGUAAUAAGGUAAUUCGGUCAGUACUGUAAAUUGUCUAGUAAUUAUUAAUAAAAAUCAUAAUUAAAGUGUGUUUUAUGUGGCUUACAGUUUCCUAGUAAAGAUGAAUAAACGAUUCCAAUAGUUAUCUUCAGAUCGAUCGAAAUAUUAACUAAUAAUACUGACUUAUUAUAUUUACAUGAAAAUUAGACAUCGAUAUAAUAAGAUUUGGAUUUUAUAGCGGUGUUUAAUAUUUGAAUUUUCUAAGUUUUGAAGACUUUACAGCCUUU